This is a transfer RNA of Parachlamydia acanthamoebae, 75 nucleotides long. It matches the Rfam family "tRNA". Rfam says of the family: Transfer RNA (tRNA) molecules are approximately 80 nucleotides in length. Their secondary structure includes four short double-helical elements and three loops (D, anti-codon, and T loops). Lineage: Bacteria; Pseudomonadati; Chlamydiota; Chlamydiia; Parachlamydiales; Parachlamydiaceae. The record is from Rfam.
CGGAGUAUAGCGCAGUUUGGCUAGCGCGGCUGCUUUGGGAGCAGUAGGUCGGGGGUUCAAAUCCCUCUACUCCGA